UCAGCUCCUGACUAGCCACCGACCGGACCGGAUACAGGACAUCCCAGAAAUCGCCCGUUGCAGCUUGGGGACCCUGGUUGGGCCCAAAAGCUGGGUGAAUUUUGCACGAUCCUGGUGGGUUUCUGAGGACAGAGACCAAUACCGGAGACGACGGGCCGAGUGCUGGGGAGGAGGCUCUAGAGAGGAGUGCGCCGCGUGCUGAUCCUCCUGGUCAGUCAGCCGGCAUCGAAGUGGCCACUAUUACCCAGUUCACUCCUGGAGGCUCACCUUUGUGUUCCAUUACUUAGGAUAGUAUCCAGCACAUGAUGGGCACUAAAAAUGACUUGCAGGAUGAUUAGGAAAUUAUUGAAUAAUUUCUGAAAUUCAUCUGAUGAAUGUACUCCUGAGGUGGAUACUCUGCAGAAUUUGCCCUGAUAUUUCUGAUUUCUUGCAAGCUGUUCAGAUUUGUGAGCAGCAGAAUUUUGACUGCUAUGGACUUGGCUGACUACUCCGGCCCUGGGCAUUGCUAUUGUCAGAAGAUGCUCUGGA
This is a non-coding RNA of Microcebus murinus (gray mouse lemur), 528 nucleotides long. Lineage: Eukaryota; Metazoa; Chordata; Mammalia; Primates; Cheirogaleidae. The record is from RefSeq and is a predicted model, not a curated record.